Molecule: ribosomal RNA, 253 nt
Filed under: uncultured bacterium
Lineage: Bacteria
Description: partial 16S ribosomal RNA
Rfam family: Bacterial small subunit ribosomal RNA
Source: RNAcentral
UACGAAGGGGGCUAGCGUUGCUCGGAAUCACUGGGCGUAAAGCGCGCGCAGGCGGUUUUUCAAGUCAGUGGUGAAAGCCCGGAGCUCAACUCCGGAACUGCCAUUGAAACUGUAAAACUUGAGGACGAGAGAGGUGAGUGGAAUUCCCAGUGUAGAGGUGAAAUUCGUAGAUAUUGGGAAGAACACCGGUGGCGAAGGCGGCUCACUGGCUCGUAUCUGACGCUCAGGCGCGACAGCGUGGGGAUCAAACAGG